RNAcentral lists this ribosomal RNA (387 nucleotides) under uncultured bacterium. RNAcentral describes it as "bacterial SSU rRNA". It matches the Rfam family "Bacterial small subunit ribosomal RNA", at positions 425 to 793 of the family's 1533-position model. The record is from RNAcentral.
GUAAAGCACUUUCAGUUGUGAGGAAGGUGGUGUCGUUAAUUAGCGGCAUCAUUUGACGUUAGCAACAGAAGAAAGCACCGGCUAACUCCGUGCCAGCAGCCGCGGUAAUACGGAGGGUGCGAGCGUUAAUCGGAAUUACUGGGCGUAAAGACGCAUGCAGGUGGUUUGUUAAGUUCAGAUGUGAAAGACCCGGGCGUCAACCUACGGAACUGCAUUUAGUAAACUAGGCAGACUAGAGUACUGUAGAGGGGGGUAGGAAUUUCAGGUGUAGCGGUGAAAAUGCGUAGAGAUCUGAAGGAAUACCGGUGGCGAAGGCGGCCCCUCGGACAGAUACUGACACUCAGAUGCGAAAGCGUGGGGAGCAAACAGGAUUAGAUACCCUGGGAA